UCCUAUGGGUGGACUCAAAUUCCCUGCAGCUUGAGCAGUUAGAAUUAGAGCCGUAGAGCCAGGAUUUCAGCAUAGAAGUGAGCUUUCACCCUGUUAGCCAUGUCUGCAACCCUAGGAAAAAUAUACCCCCCCUCCCAUGCUUCCUACUAUAUGUGCUCUCCCUUAGGGUUUCAGGUGCUCUUGGAAUCUCACAGUUGAAAAUGAAAAAGAGGUCAUAUGAGAAACAACCAUAACUCAGAAAUGAACACAGAAGUUCAAUAGACAGGAUAAUAGGCUGUUUUGUACAUCUGAAGCAGGCAGCAAAUUCUGGUGUGAGGGAAAGAGCACGGAAGGUCAUCCCAACUAUACAUAUGCUUUCCUGGGCAAAAGAAAUGUGUGUGUUUUAUUUUGUUUUUUGUUUUUUUUAUUGGUAGGCUAAUUGAAUGCCAGGUCUCCAAGUUGGAAUCCAUCCACCUUCUCCUCGUGGCCAUAGACCACAUGGGUUGAAUGUCACCAUGCAGAGAAGUGAAACAGCUGCCACAUUCUCCUUCUUGAGGAUGCAUCCCAGAAUGGGCUGUUUCUUCCGAGAGGACAACGUAGCCUCCAAUUUGGCAGGUUUUCACUAAGGAGCCUUCAUGGUGUCACCAGCAUUUCCACCAUGCUACUGCAAGGUGAUCAUUACCAACCUCUGUGU
Molecule: long non-coding RNA, 673 nt
Filed under: Cyanistes caeruleus (blue tit)
Lineage: Eukaryota; Metazoa; Chordata; Aves; Passeriformes; Paridae
Description: lncRNA (ENSCCEG00000019370.1)
Source: RNAcentral